Non-coding RNA from Microcebus murinus (gray mouse lemur), 1955 nucleotides. NCBI's taxonomy places the organism in Eukaryota, Metazoa, Chordata, Mammalia, Primates, Cheirogaleidae. The record is from RefSeq and is a predicted model, not a curated record.
CAGGUGUUCCCGCGGGGCCCGUCCUGAGGGACGCGGAGCCAGGUGUUCCCGCGGGGCCCGUCCUGAGGGACGCCGAGCCAGGUGUUCCCGCGGGGCCCGUCCUGCGGGCCGCCGAGCCAGGUGUUCCCGUGGCGCCCGUCGUGCGGGCCGCCAAGCCAGGUGUUCCCGUGGCGCGCGGGGUCUCGGGUUGCGAACGAGCUUUCACACCAGCUAAAACCUAGCGGCGGCAGUGACUGGGUUUGAUAAACUGUUUAAACUCAAAACUCAAAGUUGAGGCUGAACUUGAGUGCGAUGAGCCUCUCUGUAGUGAGGAAUGACCCUUUCAACCUUGGAUUGUUAAACUGGCACCACAGGGCGCUUCCUGAGAGUCACGGCGGCGUAGUCUCCAGGAGUUUGAGUUCAUAAGCUGCUCUGCUACCUCUUGUGCAAAAAAUGCCGACCCACAGAAAAUUAUUCUGAGUGGCACCUCGGAGAGUCUGGGAAAACCGCGGGGGUUUGUAUUAGAACCUUGCUGGGACUGUUUUUUGAACGUAAUAAUGGGAUUCAACGCUUUUAGUUUUUGUCUGUGAGCACUCCAUAUUGAAACGCCUUGUGGAGAAACCUGAGGUAUGCAGUAUAAGACACAAAAAUUACAAACAAGAGGAAUUAGAAAGGCAGCUGACACCGCAUUAAGGACGCCAGCCGCUCCCAGUCUCCUGUAGUGCAGAGAUGGAGACCAAGCGCGCCCGAGCUCCCGUAGCUCCCACGUCGACAGUGUGGGACGGCCAAGGCGGAGUUAUGCUCCAGCGCUCUUUUGCCUCCUUUUUUCAUGGUGUUCAGAGUAGAGAGCCUGACUUCCGAAAACACUUAAGACUGUGCUUUAAAUGCUUUAUUUUAAAAUGAAUGUAUCCAGUUAUUGGUCUUCACAACGUGUUUUUAUUAGAGAUCACUUCCAACACCAAGCAAAAUUAGGAAGUGAUGAAAUUUCUCUUCCGCCUCUUCCCAGCUCUGCUGGGCACCCUUUGUCCUGCACCCUGUACUGUCUGGGAGUCAGUUAUGUCUUCACAUAAACUUUAAUUAUGGAUCUCAGCCCAUCUAAACAUCUAGAGAAAAAAACUUCAAAAAUUCCUUGCCUAACUGCCAAAUAUCUUAAGGCAGAGUAGUGUGGUUUUUACCAGCAUGUAGGUUGGAGCCAGCCAGAUAUUUUGAAAUUAAAAUGUUUGCCACAUUUCUUCCUUGUGUGCAUUUGAGCAAGUUACAAAUGGCCUUAAACUGCAAAUUGUCUUUGAACCAUUCUAGGGGUUAAUAUACAUGUGUUGGCCUUUACAUGUUUGCUGUUAUCAUUAAAGACUGGUCGCUUGUGCACCCGUGUAGCCUCAACCAAUCAGCAUAUUGCUUAGCACCUGAUUCGUGCUUAGGACACAGGAAUUGCAGGUACAAUUACAAAUCAAUGCAGGGAAGGUAUACAUUGGUUUCGCCUGAAAAGAGGCCCUGGAAACCACACUAACCUUGGUAAGCACCUAGAACACUGCGCCCUGGAUCAAGAAGCUAUUUCCUAACUGCCCCUUCCCACCCUCACUCCCAGGGUGCAGCCUCGCUGGACAACUGGUCAUCAGGAGACAACAUGCAAAGUGCUUGGCAGGGAUCAGAAAAGCCAGGGGUUGGCAGUGAGAAGAUGAAAGAGCACUCAGGGCCAUUCAUGUCCUUAUUACCCUGCAGUCCCCCCUCAUAGCCCUUCUGGAACAAAGCAGUUUAAAUAAAAUGUCAGGCAAAGCUUUUCUUUUCUUCUGUCCACUUCUGUAGCUUCCCCAGGCUACUUUGAAGUCUGGUCUUAUUCUCCAGGACUGACACAAGUCGACUUGGACAUUUGAUAUACAUUUUUUGUUUGUUUCAUCUCAUCUAAAUCCCUAGAAAUGGCCCAGAUAAUGUCUAACCUUUCUUAACCUUAUGUGUAGAAAAUUGAUGUUAUGGACUGU